GACGAACGCUGGCGGCGUGCUUAACACAUGCCAGUCGAACGGAAAGGCCCUGCUUUUGUGGGGUGCUCGAGUGGCGAACGGGUGUGUAACACGUGAGUAACCUGCCCUUGACUUUGGGAUAACUUCAGGAAACUGGGGCUAAUACCGGAUAGGAGCUCCUGCUGCAUGGUGGGGGUUGGAAAGUUUCGGCGGUUGGGGAUGGACUCGCGGCUUAUCAGCUUGUUGGUGGGGUAGUGGCUUACCAAGGCUUUGACGGGUAGCCGGCCUGAGAGGGUGACCGGCCACAUUGGGACUGAGAUACGGCCCAGACUCCUACGGGAGGCAGCAGUGGGGAAUAUUGCACAAUGGGCGGAAGCCUGAUGCAGCAACGCCGCGUGCGGGAUGACGGCCUUCGGGUUGUAAACCGCUUUCGCCUGUGACGAAGCGUGAGUGACGGUAAUGGGUAAAGAAGCACCGGCUAACUACGUG
This 468-nucleotide ribosomal RNA is filed under the name uncultured bacterium. Its description in RNAcentral is "partial 16S ribosomal RNA". It matches the Rfam family "Bacterial small subunit ribosomal RNA", at positions 28 to 507 of the family's 1533-position model. The record is from RNAcentral.